This 114-nucleotide small RNA is filed under the name Pseudomonas sp. 8AS. Its description in RNAcentral is "Guanidine-I riboswitch aptamer". It matches the Rfam family "Guanidine-I riboswitch aptamer". Rfam says of the family: This family represents a conserved RNA structure found upstream of the ykkC and yxkD genes in Bacillus subtilis and related genes in other bacteria. The function of this family is unclear although it has been suggested that it may function to switch on efflux pumps and detoxification systems in response to harmful environmental molecules. Nelson showed that this riboswitch senses and responds to guanidine and it was renamed Guanidine-I riboswitch. The record is from Rfam by way of RNAcentral. Lineage: Bacteria; Pseudomonadati; Pseudomonadota; Gammaproteobacteria; Pseudomonadales; Pseudomonadaceae.
GCAAUGGCUGACUAGGGUUCCGGCUCGCCGUUCUCCACAGAGUGCGGCAAGUGACUGGUCCGAGAGUUGGCGACCUCGUUCGGGGUUACACGGCGGGAUAAAAGCCCGGGAGAA